CNACCAUGCAGUCGGACGGUAGCACAGAGAGCUUGGUCUCGCGUGAGAAGUGUGGGACGGGGGAGUAUAGUGUGGGGAUCUGCCCCAUAUAGGGGGAGAACCCCUGUGAACGGUGGCUAUUACCCCACAACGUCUCACGACACAAGAGGGGGACAUUCUGGCCUCUCUCUAUCUGAUAAACCCCCAUGGGAUAAUCUAUUAUGCGGGGUAAUGGGCCCCCUAUGCGACAAUACCUAUCUGGGCUGAGAGGAGGACCCCCCCCACUNNNNNGGGACNUGAGNACACGGUCCCCACACCCUACAGGAGGCAGCCACUGGGGAAAAUUGCACAAUGGGCGCACGCCUGAGGCAGCCACUGCCCCGUGUAUGAAAAAAGCCUUCGCGUUGUAAAGUACUUUUUCAGCGGAGAAAAGGCGGUGCGGUUAAAAACCCCGCCCGAUAGACGAUUACCCCCACAAAAAACACCGGGCUAACUCCCUGCCACCACCCCCGGUAAUACAGAGGGGGCAAGCGUUAAUCGCAAUUACAGGGCGUAAAGCGCACGCAGCGCGGUCUGUUAUAGUCACAUAUGAAAUCCCCGGGCUUUAACCUGGGAAAUCUGCAUUUGAAACUGUGCACGCGUGAGUCUCGUAGAGAGGGGUAGAAAUCUCCAGGUGUAGCGCUGAAAUGCGUAGAGAUCUGGAGGAAUACAGGUGGCGAAAGCGGCCGCCCUGGACAAAAACAGACGCUCACGUGCGAAAGCGUGGGGAGCAACACAGGAUAAGAUACACUGGUAGUCCACGCGCGUAAACGAUGUCGACAUGUGGAGGUUGUGCCCUUGAGAAGAGUGGCUUCCGGAGAUAACACGUUAAGUCGACAGCCUGUGGGAGUACAGGCCGCACAGGUUAAAACACUCAAAUGAAUUGACAGGGGGCCCGCACAAGCGCUGGGAGCAUGUGGUUUAUAUUCGAUGCAACACGAAGAACNCUUAUCCUACUCUUGACAUCUCAGCGAACAGGAGCAGNAGAUGCCCCGGUGCCUUCGGGAANACGCUGAGACACGUGCUGCUAUGNGCUGUCGUCAGCUCGUNGUUGUGAAAAGUGUGGGUUAAGUCCCGCAACGAGCGCAACCCUUAUCCUUNNUGUCACCAGCGAUUCGGNUCGGGANAUCUCAAAGGAGGAACUGUNNCNNNNNNNANNCGAUAAUAANNNNNANNNNCNCAGAGGACUNUACGUGGGGNCNUAUAGANNNNUANNCNNNGNNUCNNAANNGNNUCAUAAUNGGNAAGCNGNUCNCUGCUACGAGUAGGGCUACACACGUGCUACAAUGGCGCAUACAAAGAGAAGCGACCUCGCGAGAGCAAGCGGACCUCACAAAGUGCGUCGUAGUCCGGAUCGGAGUCUGCAACUCGACUCCGUGAAGUCGGAAUCGCUAGUAAUCGUGGAUCAGAAUGCCACGGUGAAUACGUUCCCGGGCCUUGUACACACCGCCCGUCACACCAUGGGAGUGGGUUGCAAAAGAAGUAGGUAGCUUAACCUUCGGGAGGGCGCUACCACUNGGAU
Molecule: ribosomal RNA, 1540 nt
Filed under: Pantoea sp.
Lineage: Bacteria; Pseudomonadati; Pseudomonadota; Gammaproteobacteria; Enterobacterales; Erwiniaceae
Description: partial 16S ribosomal RNA
Rfam family: Bacterial small subunit ribosomal RNA
Source: RNAcentral